GCAGGCGUAGCGCAGCUGGUAGCGCGCAAUGUUGCCAACGUUGAGGUCGAGGGUUCGAUCCCCUCCGUCUGCUCCA
This 76-nucleotide transfer RNA is filed under the name Polaromonas sp. Its description in RNAcentral is "tRNA-Gly". It matches the Rfam family "tRNA". From Rfam's summary of the family: Transfer RNA (tRNA) molecules are approximately 80 nucleotides in length. Their secondary structure includes four short double-helical elements and three loops (D, anti-codon, and T loops). The record is from RNAcentral. Lineage: Bacteria; Pseudomonadati; Pseudomonadota; Betaproteobacteria; Burkholderiales; Comamonadaceae.